UUUUUUUUUUUUUUUUUAGAUUUUUAUCCAUUCAUGAAAGACAGAGGGGGGCGGGGGGCGGGGCAGGGACACAGGCAAGGGAGAAGCAGGCUCCACGCAGGGAGCCCGAUGUGGGACUCCAUUCCAGGACUCCAGGAUCACGCCCUGGGCCAAAGGCAGGUGCCAAACCAUUGAGCCACCCAGGGAUCCCCUUUGGUAGAGUUUUUGAGAGCAGGUCUGGAUAGGAACCCAAGAGAAUUUCAGAGAGCAGUUACCACUUGGUGGGAAAAGUGCCCCAUCAAAGAAGAACCACCAGUGAAGUCUGAGUGCAUUCACAACUAUUUUAUCAAAAGCUUAGUUAUUAUUAUAGGGCCAAUCUUGGAGAUAACGACUACAUCAGAAAAGUUAAUUGAAAAAAUUACGUAUGGACUGCCAAGGCCCAGUCAUCCUUGGAAACCAAGAUAAACUAGCAGUUUCUUAUCCUCCAUAAAGAUUUGGGGACUGAAAAAAAGCUUCUCUGGAGGAUAAUAAAUAUGUCUUGGAAUAUAGUGGAAAAGAAACUAGUUGUAAGAUUUGCAGGUGAAAUACAGGAUAUCUAGUUAAAUUUCAGUAUCAUGUAAAUAACAUAAUUUUUAUAUAGGACAUACUUAUACUAAAAAAAAAAAAUUAUCUGUCUGAAAUUCAAAUUUAGCUGGAUGUCCUGGAUUUUUAUUUGCCAAAUUUGGCAACAUGAAGUGGUGAGACUCUUAUAUCAGUCUUGUUUAAUAUAACUUAGCCUUGAGAAGAAAUCCAAUUGUGCAGAAUAAUCAUUUAUUAUAUUUACAUGAAGUUUUAAGUUUUUCACAAUAGAACUUUUCAAAAUGAAUUUUGGUGAUAAAGUUUACAAAAUGAAGAUAGCUUCAUAAUUAGGUUAACUGUAAAUUCUAAAAUUAUGAACACUGGCCUUCUACUUAAGAUAUAAUGGGUCUAAUAUGAAUAUAUAAAAAGGCUUUUUGUGCUUAACAAGGAAAACACCAUUUGGUGUUGUAACGAAAUAUAAAUUACUAAAAAAAAUUUCUACUGUGUGAAAACACUAAGCAUAUAUUAGAAAUUCUCCAUUAGCGCAGACUCCAUCUUAAGAGUCCAUCAACCUCCACUAAUGAUGAAUGCCAUCACAUAUUGUAGUCUUCAUAAUAGGAUAAAAAGAUCUGUGUAACCAUGUGGAGUAAUGGAAGAGGGAAGAAGAAACAAGGAGGGGAAAAAACCCAUCAGUUUAAGAAUACUUUGAGUUGGGGAUGAGACAGUUUAACAGGUCUACUUUUUAUUUUUUAUUUUUUUAAGAUUUUAUUUAUUUAUUCAUGAUAGGCAUAGAAAGAGAGAGAGAGAGAGGGGCAGAGACAAAGGCAGAAGGAGAAGCAGGCUCCAUGCCAGGAGCCUGACAUGAGACUCGAUCCUGGGUCUCCAGGAUCACGCCCUGGGCCAAAGGCAGGCGCUAAACUGCUGAGCCACCCAGGGAUCCCUACUUUUCACUUUUUAAAUUAUAUUUUAUCAUUAUCACCUUUUGGAAAGAACCACAAAGACAACUUCUACAUGUCUGGCUUGUACAUAAGAAUCACUGGUAAAAAAAACAAACAAUAGCAUUUCAAAAGUAAUUUUUCUCAACAUAGUUUUUGACCAUCUUACUGUGUAUUAUUAGAUGUUGGAUCAGGCACUUUGUUGGGUAUGACUAAGUACUUAAGGAACUAACCCUUAGUAUGGUAGAAAGACACAUGCAUAGGUAAACAUAAUACAAGAUGAGUUAUCAAGUAAAAUAAUAGAUUGAAAAUGCUAUCAGAGCAUAAAAGGAGAUGGUGAUGGUAAGUUGGCAAA
This 1827-nucleotide long non-coding RNA is filed under the name Canis lupus familiaris (dog). RNAcentral's name for it is "lncRNA (ENSCAFG00845018911.1)". The record is from RNAcentral. Lineage: Eukaryota; Metazoa; Chordata; Mammalia; Carnivora; Canidae.